This 228-nucleotide unclassified non-coding RNA is filed under the name Hevea brasiliensis (rubber tree). The record is from RNAcentral. Lineage: Eukaryota; Viridiplantae; Streptophyta; Magnoliopsida; Malpighiales; Euphorbiaceae.
GGCGAUUCUGCAGUCCACGGCGGAGGAAAACGAUGGCUUCUACAGAGUCGUCUAGUUCUGCUCGAAAAGUGGUUGUCCUGCUGAGAGCUACUGGGGAUGCUCCCAUUCUCAAACAAACCAAGUUUAAGAUGCCCGGAACAGACAAAUUUAUUAAAGUUAUUGAUUAUAUACGCCGGUCAAUUCAACGGGACACCUUGUUUGUGUUUGUCAACAGUGCAUUCUCACCAG